CCUUAACCUGCUAAAUAGGCACGUGAACAUGCGUUCAAGGUGCGUUCUUAGAGGGACAAACCACGUUUAGUGGUUGGAAGUUUGAGGCAAUAACAGGUCUGUGAUGCCCUUAGAUGUUCUGGGCCGCACGCGCGCUACACUGACACAGUCAGCGAGUAAGAAUGCCUUGACCGAGAGGUCUGGGAAAUCUUGUGAAACUGUGUCGUGCUGGGGAUAGACCAUUGCAAUUAUUGGUCUUCAACGAGGAAUUCCUAGUAAGCGCAAGUCAUCAGCUUGCGUUGAUUACGUCCCUGCCCUUUGUACACACCGCCCGUCGUUACUACCGAUUGAAUGGCUUAGUGAGGCCUCCGGACUGGGGCAUUGCCAGCGAUGGUGAUGUGCUCUGGGAAGCUGGUCAAACUUGGUCAUUUAGAGGAAGUACAAGUCG
RNAcentral lists this ribosomal RNA (427 nucleotides) under Microsporidia sp. clade V. RNAcentral's name for it is "SSU rRNA". It matches the Rfam family "Eukaryotic small subunit ribosomal RNA", at positions 1341 to 1791 of the family's 1831-position model. Lineage: Eukaryota; Fungi; Microsporidia. The record is from RNAcentral.